Asparagus officinalis (garden asparagus) is the source of this 447-nucleotide long non-coding RNA. RefSeq lists it as uncharacterized. The transcript has 3 exons. The record is from RefSeq and is a predicted model, not a curated record. NCBI's taxonomy places the organism in Eukaryota, Viridiplantae, Streptophyta, Magnoliopsida, Asparagales, Asparagaceae.
GGGUUCUGGGGAUGACAGAAGAGAGUGAGCACACAGCGGGCGAACUGCAUCAAUCAAGAGAAGGAAUGCUGUUGCUGUUGCGUGCUCACUGCUCUCUCUGUCAUCUCUCCUUUCACGACUCGGACUCAUCAUCAUAUCACGUUAUUGUUUGUUUGAUAAUAUUGAACUAUGCACCCCUGCCAGCAUUUUUUUUAAAGUUUUUUUUUUUUUUGCCAUUAACUGUAAUUUUCCUUUUUUUUUCACUUUUGCAUAAAACUCCGAUCCUGGUUCUAUCAAUUUGGGCUCGGAUAUCAAAGUGCAUGAUUCUGUUGCAGCCAUGUACAACUUGCUUCAAGCGCAUUGGCCAUCAAAGAAAGCAUUUGCUUCAUGUUGUAGAAGGUAAAUCAAUGGAUUCAUGAGGGAAGCAGCAAACUGACAAAAUGGCCGCAAUGGAUAUGCUUGACAUCG